AACUGUCAACUUCAUUGUGUUUAUUCAUGUAAGCCGACGACCAUUAGGGCAUAAUAAAAUAAAACGUUUUUAACUGAAAAUAACAGUUAACAUUUUAUAAGAAUAUGAAAAAAUAAAGAAAAUAGUGUUAACAGUGACGAAUUGCAAAAUUGGAGGGAAAAAACCACAAGAUCGGAGAAGAAAAUGCAACUUUCGCGUUCAAGGUCAAUUGCGGCGUCCUUUCGUCGAUAGCAUAGCUACAUGGACGUGAUAAAUAUCGAGAUAAAAAUGUAGCAGGCCAUGGAUGUACCUACAUUAAUAGUGCCAGCGAACGAAUGUUUAAUGCAUACAUAACUAAAAUUCCGAAAAGGAACAUAAACGUCGGCAAGUGAAGAAUGAAGCGAGUUAAUUUUGACCUUGUUGGAAGGAGGCACCGCACCAGAAGGUUAAAUAUGGGAAUAAUCCUUCUAGGACAAUCUUGUUGUUUGCUUGCAGAUAUAUAAUUACGAACAUUACAAAACAACAAUGACCCGGACAAGAUUAUGAAAAAAUACUCUGCCUUGUUAAAUUACUAGUGCUCUGAAGAUGAACCCAGAGACUCAAGCUGCGGCUGGUGAGACGUUUGUCAGUUGGGAACAAGGCUAGGUAUUGAAAUGAAACAAAAUAAAGUUUCCUGUGACCUGUUCUCUCACUGUGAUGAUUUAGCACUCAAUAAAUUGUCUGCUGUAACCAGCUAUGAAAAGUUUCAGUAGUGUCCUUGCCUGGUUACCCCGGUGUUAUCCGGGAAGUUCCAUCACUGAAGGAGCGGAAAAGAGAAGGAGAAAGGAGGAACUUUCGAUUGGUGCGGCCAACAGCAUGGUGGGGUGGAGUCUCUUAUGCCCAACACCGUCAAGCAGUAUCGUAAACACUUGAAACACUGGUGUAUGUUUUGUGGAAAUAAUUACAUUAAUUAUCUUAUCGCAUCUUUUCUAGCAAUGUUUGCCAUUCUGAAAGCAUUAUGUGAUGAGGGAUCUAGGUAUGGAAGUGUCCAUUUUUCUAAAUCUGCUCAUGUGCUUAUAUUGGGAUAUAGACGACUCCUCAAAUGAUAG
Long non-coding RNA from Cydia pomonella (codling moth), 1067 nucleotides. RefSeq lists it as uncharacterized. NCBI's taxonomy places the organism in Eukaryota, Metazoa, Arthropoda, Insecta, Lepidoptera, Tortricidae. The record is from RefSeq and is a predicted model, not a curated record. The transcript is spliced from 3 exons.